UAGUAACUGCGAGUGAAGAGGGAAAAGCUCAAAUUUUGAAUCUGGCGGUCUUCGUGGCCGUCCGAGUUGUAAUCUAGAGAAGCGUCUUCCGCGCUGGACCGUGUACAAGUCUCCUGGAAGGGAGCGUCAUAGAGGGUGAGAAUCCCGUCUUUGACACGGACCCCCAGUGCUAUGUGAUGCGCUCUCGAAGAGUCGAGUUGUUUGGGAAUGCAGCUCAAAAUGGGUGGUAAAUUCCAUCUAAAGCUAAAUACAGGCGAGAGACCGAUAGCGAACAAGUACCGUGAGGGAAAGAUGAAAAGAACUUUGGAAAGAGAGUUAAACAGUACGUGAAAUUGCUGAAAGGGAAACGCUUGAUGUCAGUCGCGUCGGCCAGGGAUCAACCUCGCUUCAUCGCUUGGUGCAUUUCUUGGUCGGACGGGUCAGCGUCAGUUUCGAUCGUCGUACAAUGGCAGAGGGAACGUGGCACCUCCAGGGGUGUGUUAUAGCCCUCGGUCGUAUGCGUCGGUGGGGACUGAGGAACUCGGCACGACCUUCGCUGGUCUGUGUCUAGGAUGCUGGCAUAAUGGCCUUAAGCGA
This 576-nucleotide ribosomal RNA is filed under the name Phylloporus rubeolus. Its description in RNAcentral is "partial large subunit ribosomal RNA". It matches the Rfam family "Eukaryotic large subunit ribosomal RNA", at positions 81 to 647 of the family's 3401-position model. Lineage: Eukaryota; Fungi; Basidiomycota; Agaricomycetes; Boletales; Boletaceae. The record is from RNAcentral.